UUCUUAAGUUUGGGGAUGUAAGUGAGAGUAAAGCAAAAGUAUAGGGGUAUAUUAUUAAAUUAGUAAUGAAUUUCUGGAAGCAACCUCUCGUUAUGCUUCCUUCCCUUCUAUCUCUCUCUGCCGCUUCCUGUUGAGUCGCCGACCUCUGAGAAGAAUCAGGUCUAACAAUGCUUGUACUCUGCUAUUUCAAGGGACUGCAAAAUGAUUAUUGAAUUGUAUUGACCCCCCCUCCCUCUGUAAAGAGCAAUUGAUCCUUGUCAACAAAAUUAUAAAAAUGGCGUAUUCUCUUCUUCGGAUUCGAAAGGUUUCACCUUUCGGAAUCUCUCGUGUUCUUCAAGCUGAUAAGGCAAGUUUGUGGCGGUUUCACUUGGAACCUGAGUGUGCUCGGUUUCUGAGAUUUGGUGUCUUCACUAGGAACUACGGAAAGAUCUUAGGGUCCUCUAACUACGACUUCACUGGCUCCGGACCUACCUCAUCUUUCGAUUUCACUGAUCUCACCUGUCCUCACACAUGGUAUCCAAUUGCUCGGAGGAAGAAGCGUAAAGUCAUUCUACAUGUUGGCCCCACAAACAGUGGCAAAACAUAUAAUGCCCUCAAGCAACUUGAGCGUAGUUCUUCAGGUGUGUAUUGUGGUCCGUUAAGAUUGUUGGCAUGGGAGGUAGCUAAACGCUUAAACAAAGCUAAUGUUCCUUGUGAUUUGAUCACCGGACAAGAGAAAGACUUAGUGGAAGGUGCUAAUCACAAAUCCGUCACUGUUGAAAUGGCUGAUGUUACCUCUGUCUACGACUGUGCCAUCAUUGACGAGAUUCAGAUGGUGGGAUGUAAACAAAGGGGGUUUUCAUUUACUCGUGCUCUACUUGGGAUUGCAGCUAAUGAACUACAUUUAUGUGGUGAUCCAGCUGUCGUUCCUCUUGUUGAAGACAUUCUGAAAGUAACCGGAGAUGAUGUUGAGGUUCUUACAUAUGAGAGGCUUUCGCCAUUAGUCCCUUUGAAGGUUCCAGUUCGGUCAGUUUCCGAUAUUAAAACUGGGGAUUGUCUUGUAACCUUUUCGAGAAAAGAUAUAUAUAGGCAUAAGAACACAAUUGAAAAGGCGGGGAAGCAUCUUUGCUCUGUGGUUUAUGGUUCAUUGCCUCCAGAGACUCGUACAGCGCAGGCAACAAGGUUUAACGACGCGACCAAUGACUUUGAUGUGCUUGUUGCGAGCGAUGCGAUUGGCAUGGGUCUUAAUUUGAAUAUUUCAAGAAUUAUCUUCUCCACCCUUGAAAAAUUUGAUGGUACCGAGACCAGAGACCUAACAGUAUCUGAGAUUAAACAAAUUGCAGGGAGAGCUGGCAGAUUCCGUUCACAGUUUCCUGUUGGAGAAGUAACUUGUUUGCAUAAAGAAGAUCUUCCGUUGCUUCAUUCGUCUUUGAAGUCUCCUUCACCUAUUAUUGAGCGUGCUGGACUGUUUCCAACGUAUGACCUCCUAUCUAGAUAUUCGCAAGCACACCCUAAACUCGGACUGUACAAGAUUUUGGAACAUUUCGUUGAAAAUGCAAAGUUAUCUUCUAACUACUUUAUCUCUAAUGUUGAAGACAUGAUGAAAGCUGCAGCUCUUGUUGAUGAAUUACCUCUCAAAUUGCAAGACAAGUACCUAUUUGUGGUCAGUCCAGUUGACAUAAAUGAUGAAAUAUCUGGUCGGGGAUUUGCACAGAUGACACAGUGAAGGUUCCCAGGACACCAACAGAGCUCAAAGAACUUGAAUCCAUUCACAAGGUUUUGGAUCUGUACGUAUGGUUAAGCUUAAGGCUAGAGGACUCUUUUCCUGACAGGGAAGUGGCAGCUUCACAAAAGUCAAUCUGCAAUGUACUGAUUGAGCAGUUCUUAGAGGCAAAUAGAUUGAUCUCUCCCAUCCCCUUCUCAAGCAAAAAACUGAGGAGCCGGCGUAAAUUCUAAGAAUACAUUUCAAGUUUGGUUGUGCAAUGUUCAUGAGCUGUUCGUUUGGUUUUGGACUCAAGUCGCUGAGGUAGAGCUGAAGACAAGUGAUUGGUUGUUCCAUUACACACAACUAGUAGCAUUCAGAGUUUUGUCAUGUAUUUUUAGUGUUAACUAAACAGUAAAGAACUAUAUAAUUUCAUUGAUUUAUUUAUCAUUUCGUUGAGGCCGAGGCCGUUGUGAUAGAAAUCAUACAAGCAUAUGACAAUCAGAUGCCUUCCAUAGUGAAAACUCUUACUUGCACUUGGGUAUAUGAUCUUCACAAGAAGCUGCUAGUCAAUUUCUUUUAUAGAUA
Molecule: RNA transcript, 2269 nt
Organism: Brassica rapa (field mustard)
Lineage: Eukaryota; Viridiplantae; Streptophyta; Magnoliopsida; Brassicales; Brassicaceae
Gene name: DExH-box ATP-dependent RNA helicase DExH16, mitochondrial
Source: RefSeq, a predicted model, not a curated record